GACGAACGCUGGCGGCGUGCUUAACACAUGCAAGUCGAGCGGUAAGGCCCUUUCGGGGGUACACGAGCGGCGAACGGGUGAGUAACACGUGGGUGACCUGCCCUCAGCUCUGGGAUAAGCCUGGGAAACCGGGUCUAAUACCGGAUAUGACUCCAUGACGCAUGUUGUGGGGUGGAAAGCCUUGUGCGGCUGAGGAUGGGCCCGCGGCCUAUCAGCUUGUUGGUGGGGUGAUGGCCUACCAAGGCGACGACGGGUAGCCGGCCUGAGAGGGCGACCGGCCACACUGGGACUGAGACACGGCCCAGACUCCUAC
RNAcentral lists this ribosomal RNA (313 nucleotides) under uncultured bacterium. Its description in RNAcentral is "bacterial SSU rRNA". It matches the Rfam family "Bacterial small subunit ribosomal RNA", at positions 28 to 342 of the family's 1533-position model. The record is from RNAcentral.